AAGAAAUUAACAGCCAAAAGUUUCAACAACAAAUUGCCCUAAAUGGUAAUGGCAGUAACAACAUUUUGUUUAUUUAUUGCAAAAAGUAAAAGCGAGCAUAACAAUAAAAAUUAUUUAGAAAAAAAGCUGCAACAAAAAAAAAAGCAACAAUUGCCCCUCGACAACAAUAACAACGACAAAGCGAGUCGCGAUCCACAAUAUUUUGGCAUGCUGAGUGGACAGUGUAAUUACGGUUAGUUGUGGUAAAUGGACAUAAAUAUAUAUAUAUAUAUUUAUAUAUUUUGCAACAAAAUCACGUAAUGCACCAACCAAACAAUGGCUGCAAUUAUUUGCAAUUUUUCGUAUACCCUGUAACUGAUGCGGCACGUGAGGCGUUUCUGCGCACAACUCAAUUGGCGCAAGCAAACGAACUAACCUAGCCCGAAAAUCUACACACUUACUAAAUUCAAGCAAAGAAUCAUCAAAUUUUUGAAACUCAAAAUCUUAUAUAGAAAAUCUCACAGGACUUUGAGUAAUACCCCAUAUAUAUAAAA
Drosophila montana is the source of this 533-nucleotide long non-coding RNA. RefSeq lists it as uncharacterized. NCBI's taxonomy places the organism in Eukaryota, Metazoa, Arthropoda, Insecta, Diptera, Drosophilidae. The transcript has 2 exons. The record is from RefSeq and is a predicted model, not a curated record.